Molecule: ribosomal RNA, 545 nt
Filed under: uncultured bacterium
Lineage: Bacteria
Description: partial 16S ribosomal RNA
Rfam family: Bacterial small subunit ribosomal RNA
Source: RNAcentral
UGGGGAAUUUUGGACAAUGGGGGCAACCCUGAUCCAGCAAUGCCGCGUGAGUGAAGAAGGCCUUCGGGUUGUAAAGCUCUUUUGUCCGGGAAGAAAUCCCAUCCUUGAAUACGGGGUGGGGAUGACGGUACUGGAAGAAUAAGCACCGGCUAACUACGUGCCAGCAGCCGCGGUAAUACGUAGGGUGCAAGCGUUAAUCGGAAUUACUGGGCGUAAAGCGUGCGCAGGCGGUUGUGCAAGACCGAUGUGAAAUCCCCGGGCUUAACCUGGGAACUGCAUUGGUGACUGCACGGCUAGAGUGUGUCAGAGGGGGGCAGAAUUCCACGUGUAGCAGUGAAAUGCGUAGAGAUGUGGAGGAAUACCGAUGGCGAAGGCAGCCCCCUGGGAUAACACUGACGCUCAUGCACGAAAGCGUGGGGAGCGAACAGGAUUAGAUACCCUGGUAGUCCACGCCCUAAAACGAUGUCAACUAGUUGUCGGGGAUUAAUUUCCUUGGUAACGCAGCUAACGCGUNAAGUUGACCGCCUGGGGAGUACGGUCGCAAG